CAGCCAUGCCGCGUGAAGGAUGACGGCCCUAUGGGUUGUAAACUUCUUUUAUAGAGGAAGAAACUUGUCUACGUGUAGACAACUGACGGUACUCUACGAAUAAGGAUCGGCUAACUCCGUGCCAGCAGCCGCGGUAAUACGGAGGAUCCAAGCGUUAUCCGGAUUCAUUGGGUUUAAAGGGUCCGUAGGCGGAUUUUUAAGUCAGUGGUGAAAGCCGACAGCUCAACUGUCGAACUGCCAUUGAUACUGGAAAUCUUGAGUACAAAUGAAGUAGGCGGAAUGAGUCAUGUAGCGGUGAAAUGCAUAGAUAUGACUCAGAACACCGAUUGCGAAGGCAGUCUACUACGUAUGUACUGACGCUCAUGGACGAAAGCGUGGGGAGCGAACAGGAUUAGAUACCCUGGUAGUCCACGCCGUAAACGAUGGACACUAGUUGUUGGGCAUUAGCUCAGUGACUAAGCGAAAGUGAUAAGUGUCCCACCUGGGGAGUACGAUCGCAAGAUUGAAACUCAAAGGAAUUGACGGGGGCCCGCACAAGCGGUGGAGCAUGUGGUUUAAUUCGAUGAUACGCGAGGAACCUUACCAGGGCUUAAAUGUAGUAUGACAGGUUUAGAGAUAGACUUUUCUUCGGACAUAUUACAAGGUGCUGCAUGGUUGUCGUCAGCUCGUGCCGUGAGGUGUCAGGUUAAGUCCUAUAACGAGCGCAACCCUUGUCGUUAGUUGCCAGCAUGUAAAGAUGGGGACUCUAACGAGACUGCCGGUGCAAACCGAGAGGAAGGUGGGGAUGACGUCAAAUCAUCACGGCCCUUACGUCCUGGGCCACACACGUGCUACAGUGGUAUGGACAAUGAGCAGCCAUCUG
This 862-nucleotide ribosomal RNA is filed under the name uncultured Flavobacteriaceae bacterium. RNAcentral describes it as "bacterial SSU rRNA". It matches the Rfam family "Bacterial small subunit ribosomal RNA", at positions 389 to 1256 of the family's 1533-position model. The record is from RNAcentral. Lineage: Bacteria; Pseudomonadati; Bacteroidota; Flavobacteriia; Flavobacteriales; Flavobacteriaceae.